UACGGAGGGGGCUAGCGUUGUUCGGAAUUACUGGGCGUAAAGCGCGCGUAGGCGGCUUUGUAAGUUAGAGGUGAAAGCCCGGAGCUUAACUCCGGAACUGCCUUUAAGACUGCAUCGCUAGAAUUGUGGAGAGGUGAGUGGAAUUCCGAGUGUAGAGGUGAAAUUCGUAGAUAUUCGGAAGAACACCAGUGGCGAAGGCGACUCACUGGACACAUAUUGACGCUGAGGUGCGAAAGCGUGGGGAGCAAACAGG
RNAcentral lists this ribosomal RNA (253 nucleotides) under uncultured bacterium. Its description in RNAcentral is "partial 16S ribosomal RNA". It matches the Rfam family "Bacterial small subunit ribosomal RNA", at positions 524 to 776 of the family's 1533-position model. The record is from RNAcentral. RNAcentral also lists the same sequence under 1 other name.